CUGUAUUCGGGGGCAGAUAGGAAAACGGCAGGACAGGGAGGCCAGUUGUGGCGUGGGUGGCGUGUGUGCGUCUUCCUCCUCCUGAUCCCCUCUUUCUCUCAAACCAGAUGUAGCUCGAAUUCAUGUUCAUGGAGUAAAUUCGAAGACUAGUCCUAACAAUCUGCCUCCAAAAUCCACUAUAUAUAUGCCCCCUUCGAGCUAAAUAACCCUUCAUCCAAACAAGCCAAGGCAAGCUACUAGCCAGUACUUGGAGAAACCAACAAUGGCGCCGCUCGCAGCCCGGAGCCGGAGGCCAGCCUGCCUCCUAGCCCUCCUCUCCGUCGCCGCGGCCUUAUUCCUGACCCCGCCGGCCUUGGCGGCGGGGGGGGGGGGGGGGGGGGGGAGACCGGCCAGGUGACGGUGUUCUGGGGACGGAACAAGGCGGAGGGGUCCCUGCGUGAGGCCUGCGACUCCGGCAUGUACACCAUGGUCACCAUGUCCUUCCUCGACGUCUUCGGCGCCAACGGCAAGUACCACCUCGACCUCUCCGGCCACGACCUCUCCUCCGUCGGCGCCGACAUCAAGCACUGCCAGUUCAAGGGCGUGCCCGUCUCCCUCUCCAUCGGCGGCUACGACACCGGCUACUCGCUGCCGUCCAACCGCUCCGCGCUCGACCUCUUCGACCACCUGUGGAACUCCUACUUCGGCGAGUCCAAGCCGGGCGUCCCCUGCCCCUUCGGCGACGCGUGGCUCGACGGCGUCGACCUCUUCCUGGAGCACGGCACGCCGGCGGACCGCUACGACGUGCUGGCGCUGGAGCUGGCCAAGCACAACAUCCGCGGGGGGCCGGGGAAGCCGCUGCACCUGACGGCGACGGUCCGGUGCGGGUACCCGCCGGCGGCGCACAUGGGGCGGGCGCUGGCGACGGGGAUCUUCGAGCGCGUCCACGUGAGGACCUACGAGAGCGACAAGUGGUGCAACCAGAACCUUGGGUGGGAGGGCUCGUGGGACAAGUGGACGGCGGCGUACCCGGCCACCCGGUUCUACGUCGGGCUCACGGCGGACGACAAGUCCCACCAGUGGGUACACCCCAAGAACGUCUACUACGGCGUCGCGCCGGUGGCGCAGAAGAAGGACAACUACGGCGGCAUCAUGCUCUGGGACCGAUACUUCGACAAGCAGACCAACUACAGCAGCUUGAUCAAGUACUACGCCUGAGCUCCUGUACUUCCACAAGCCACGCUUCUUGCAUCACCGUCGGUUUGAUCCUGAUGUACUGUUGCAAGCGAGAACAAAGUGAGGCUUGUACUUGGAUAUAAUAAAUAAAUAAUUGAAUAGUUGGUCGUACA
Triticum aestivum (bread wheat) is the source of this 1328-nucleotide RNA transcript. It is a transcript of the gene named xylanase inhibitor protein 1-like, with no coding region annotated. The transcript has a single exon. Lineage: Eukaryota; Viridiplantae; Streptophyta; Magnoliopsida; Poales; Poaceae. The record is from RefSeq and is a predicted model, not a curated record.